This 497-nucleotide ribosomal RNA is filed under the name uncultured bacterium. RNAcentral's name for it is "partial 16S ribosomal RNA". It matches the Rfam family "Bacterial small subunit ribosomal RNA", at positions 28 to 507 of the family's 1533-position model. The record is from RNAcentral.
GAUGAACGCUGGCGGCGUGCCUAAUACAUGCAAGUCGAGCGAACGGACGAGAAGCUUGCUUCUCUGAUGUUAGCGGCGGACGGGUGAGUCACACGUGGAUAACCUACCUAUAAGACUGGGAUAACUUCGGGAAACCGGAGCUAAUACCGGAUAAUAUUUUGAACCGCAUGGUUCAAAAGUGAAAGACGGUCUUGCUGUCACUUAUAGAUGGAUCCGCGCUGCAUUAGCUAGUUGGUAAGGUAACGGCUUACCAAGGCAACGAUGCAUAGCCGACCUGAGAGGGUGGUCGGCCACACGGGAACUGAGACACGGUCCAGACUCCUACGGGAGGCAGCAGUAGGGAAUCUUCCGCAAUGGGCGAAAGCCUGACGGAGCAACGCCGCGUGAGUGAUGAAGGUCUUCGGAUCGUAAAACUCUGUAAUUAGGGAAGAACAUAUGUGUAAGUAACUGUGCACAUCUUGACGGUACCGAAUCAGAAAGCCACGGCUAACUACGUG